This 3339-nucleotide long non-coding RNA is filed under the name Carica papaya (papaya). RNAcentral's name for it is "long non-coding RNA (CPAP_LNC011661)". The record is from RNAcentral. Lineage: Eukaryota; Viridiplantae; Streptophyta; Magnoliopsida; Brassicales; Caricaceae.
CUUCUUUCUCUUUUUUCUCUCUCUCUCUCUCUCUCUCUCUCUCUCUCUCUCUCUCUCUCUCUCUCUCUCUCCCUUUCUGUCUUUUCUUCUCUUCCUUUUUUUUUUUCCUUUCUUCUCUUCUUCUUCUUCUUCUUCUUUCUUUUCCUUUUCUUCUUCUUCUUCUUCCUGCGAUGUUUCCCCUUCCGCUGCGGCCCACCUUCGCGACUGCUGCUCACUCCUCCUAACGCGGCCAAGGCUCCUCCCCUCACUCUACUCUCUCGGCCCCGAUAUCGUUUGGCCCUCUCUCUUCUCAAAAUAUUUUUUCUUCUUUCUCACUUUUUUUUUGCUAUUUUCUUACAUAUAUAUAUAAAUUUAUCGCUUAAGUCUUCCACAUCAUUUUUCUUUUUUUUUUUCCUUUAUAAAUAAUUACAUAUAUAAUUUCUUUUUAUUUUUUUGUUUAUCUUGUUUUUUCAUUAUAAUUAAUUUAUUUAUAUUAUUAUUUUUUUCUACCCUGCUGUAUAUUACACAUAUAGUGAGCAUGUUUAAUAAUAAUGCUUUCUUCGAAAUUAUGAAACAGCUUUGGAAAUCGAAAGGGUUCAUAUAGGUACAUCUUUGGUGUAAGGGGCAAUAUCUGUUUUAAUUUGAAAAUUCUAAGGAUGUCUAACGUGUAAAGAAUGGUGUGUCGUAGCACUUCGGCAGACCUAUUAUUUGCUUUUAACAUUGUUCACUAUAAAUGAGCACCCAAGUUAUUAUCACACUAAUCUAUAUGACCUGCCUCCAAAGUUCGAUGUCCGAGGAGGUUGGUUGAUGUUGGGGGUGCAAAAAUGGAAGUUGCAUUUUUGUGGAUCUUGUGAUAAGUCUCCCAAGGAUAAAAGUAGGUAGUGAUUCAAUAGUGCCAUCCAAUAGACCUUUUAAUCUGUACAUUAGGUGAUAACCUCCAUAACAAUAUUGCAUAGACUACUACCUAUAUAAUUUGAAAUUCUUGCUAGUUUCUUAAUCUUGAAAAUAAGGAUGAUAAAAGUACAGUUUAUUUAAACUAAGAAAGUAUGAUUGUUCCCAAAAUUGAAGACCUUAUGUUUCACUAUAUGCCAACAAUUUUGAGAAAAGAUAAUAGAUAAACCAUCCAGAUCUAGAGCUUUUGUUGGAUGUAUCCGUUGUAGUACAAAAAAACACCUCUGCCUCAAUGCCUGUUCCAGUAAUUAAACAUUCAUAUUAGAUGUAACUUUCCUUUUCACAUAAUCUGUAUCUCUUACAAAAGUUUUCUCAGAAUUGGGUGGUAAAAAUGAUUGUUUAAUCUUAUUACAUUUAUCCUCAAUUCCCCUGUACAGCUCUUUAUUCUCUAUUGUACUUCUCUUAUGCCUCUUCGUAGUUUUUGCAUGGAGAAAGCUCUUUUUUAAUUCAAUUUAUAGAACUUCUUUUGUUUUCUGCUUCACCUUUUAUCCCAGUUGAUAUAGCACCUCGUUGCAGUAUGUCAUUUGCCUUUGAAGUUCUAUUACACCUAGUAGCAACUUCCUCCAUGCUUCCCCCACUGGUGAGAGGAUUACACCGUGCUUCCUCAACGACAGCUUUACAAUGAGGUUCCUGCAAUCGUACCUCUUCUAGUUUAAAAAAUUUUAUUUUGUCUCCUUAUAAUUAAAUUAUCUUCAUGGGAUAAGUUCGUAGGAGUGUACUUAGAUAAGGUUCUAACUAUGCUUAGGACCUAUGCAAUUAGGAAGAAAAUUCCAAUCCUGAUUAACCAUAAACUGAUCUAGCAUUUCAUGUUAUUUUUUCUACGUGCUAAAAGGCUCGUUGGAAAUGGGCUGUGUGCAACUCAUAUUCUGUCAAGCUACUUCCAUAUAAGAACCAAAACGCACUGUUUCAUUAAAUGGUGCGUUUUGGCUACUGCUACACCAAAAAAGGAGGUAUAGGUACCUCUUCUUCCUCUACAUAGAAAACCCAAAAUUGGGUUUCCUUCUUCUCCAGACUUCUUCCUCUCACGCAAACACCAAAAGCUCUAGUUUUCGGCAUUUUCUUUUUCUUCCAUUUGUUUUGCAGAUAUUCAACUUUGGACAUUAAGGCACAACAAUAAGUAUUUUCUUUAAUGGAGUAAAGGUACUAUACAUUGAUUUUCUCAUACUUUACCGAAGUAAUGUAUUGUUGUUAGAAAACGUAGGAUUUGGUGUGUAUUGAGGAAGAAGAAGUUCAUUUUGUAACACUACGACCUCUUCUGUUCAUCCAUGUAAACUUAUGCCCACAUAAACUUAAAUCAAACAACUAUAUUGAACUAAUGUAUUCUAUAUUCUCGAGUAAGCCCCAUCUUCCUCUCGUUCUCCUAUUUUUUCAUGCACAAAGAAGACCUCAUUCCAGUUCCUACCCAUAAGCUAUAGUUUAUCUGUUACGAAUAUAAAUCCACUAUUGAUUCCCUUAUUUUAGGUGCCCCUCCCACCGUCUAUAGAGUCCAAUAACCCAUACCAAUAGCAAUAAGACAACACCCCCUAAACAUUCAGAGCAGAUCAUAAGCGAUAAUAAAAUUAGAAAAAAAAAAAAAAAAAAAGGUUAUUAAACGUGAAACUAACAAUUCUAUAAAGAGAAAUUUAGAAAAAAUGAUGAGAUUGAUUUUUAUUAUAUUUUUAUAAUAUUUUUACUUAAAUUUAGAAGAACUUUUGAAUGAAUUUUGAGUGAAAAAUUAAUUUAUGAAUUAAAUUUUUUAUGCAGGUUGUUAUUUUAAAGAAGAAAGAAAAAAAAAAGUUGAAAAGAAAAGAAGAAAAGAAGAAGAAGCCAAAAGUUUAAACCAUUGAAGUCCAAGCCCAUAUCUGUUCAACCCAUUCCCAGACCUCCAAAACGUCGCUGUUUUAAAGGAAAAAAAAAAUUGCAGAAAGCAGAAGAGGAAACGAAAGAAGCAGCUGAAAAGAAAAAUAAAACAAAACAAAAAAAGAAGAAACAGCUAAAAAGAAAAUCAAAGAGGAUCUCAUCUCUUGCAGUCGCCUAUUAAAAGGAGAAAAGAGAAAACAAGAAAAGGGGCAGAGAGAGAGAGAGAGAGAGAGAGAGAGAGAGAGAGAGAGAGCAGAACCCGAAGCUAGCAGCUGACAAAGAAACCGGAGAGCAGAAAUGAAACAGUGCGCUGAGUGGAGAAGCAGAUUCGAAGCCAUAAGUGUGAUUGCAGAGCAGAAACUUGGAGAAGCACAAACGGAGAGAAGAUGAGAAAAAUUAGUCAAGUAAUAUUUAUUUAAUUUUCAAAUUAACAAAUUUUAGUGGAAACUUUUAAGAAUUUUUUUUGACACUCCAAUACUCGUAUUUAGAAUUGUUGGGAAUUUAAUUUUUUCUUUUUUGUUACGGUAAUUAAAAUAAAAUUUGUAGUUGAAUUUACAAACUCAUAAUUUU